Molecule: ribosomal RNA, 301 nt
Filed under: uncultured bacterium
Lineage: Bacteria
Description: partial 16S ribosomal RNA
Rfam family: Bacterial small subunit ribosomal RNA
Source: RNAcentral
CAGCAGCCGCGGUAAAACGAAGGGUGCAAGCGUUACUCGGAAUUACUGGGCGUAAAGCGUGCGUAGGUGGUGGUUUAAGUCCGUUGUGAAAGCCCUGGGCUCAAUCUGGGAAUUGCAGUGGAUACUGGGUCACUAGAGUGUGGUAGAGGAUAGUGGAAUUUCCGGUGUAGCAGUGAAAUGCGUAGAGAUCGGAAGGAACAUCUGUGGCGAAGGCGACUAUCUGGGCCAACACUGACACUGAGGCACGAAAGCGUGGGGAGCAAACAGGAUUAGAUACCCGAGUAGUCCCUGUCUCUUAUAA